UAGCAAGUUCAUGCCAUGGGGUGCUCUAUUUUUCUCGAUGCUGAAUUGAUUGAUUAAUAUGCUGAACUUGACAUCAAUUUGAUCACUUGUGUGAUUCUUGAGCCUAAUUUUUCGUUUGUUGAGUGAUUAGUACACAUGGUUUGUCAUUCUAGAACUUACUCGGUUAUGCAUGUCAAGGCCACAUUUAAAUGAGUUUAAUGCAUUGAAAUGAUAGGGCACCUAGGAAUGAGCCAUUUUUGGACUUUCUUAAAACCAAGCCUUGGAUUAUUUAUCACUAGGGAGCCAAGUUGAGCCUUAACUCUUAUUCUUCGCUUAAGACCCUAGUUUUAGCCGUAAAACCUCUUUUUAGACUUUCUUUUUGAAUCUCGUGUGAAGAAGUGCUUUGAUUUCAUUAUACUGAAUUUUGGAGUAUUAUUCGAGAGGCAUUACACCCAUUUAUGUAUCGUAAAAAAAAAACAAAAAAAACAAAAAAAAAGCAAAAGAAAAAAAAAAGAAGAGAGAGGAAGUAGAUGAAUGAAAAGAGGAGAAAAGGCGAAGAUUGUGGCAAGUGCUAAUUCACUUCACUUGUGUGAUGGUUGAGAUGUCUUUAAGUUUCAAAUGUGCAAGAAUCUAUGUAAUGAAUUUCUGGGCACUUUCUUUAUACUUUUACACCCUUUUGACUCCUUUUUAUCCUACCUUCUCACCUAAGCCCCAUUACAACCUUUUAAAGUCCCUUGAUUGCUGCAUUUAAAUUCAUAAGUAAGUAGUGGAGAUAUGAUAUAUGAGCAAGCUUAUGGUAGUGUCAUUCUAUUGUGUUGAUCUGAGAGUUAUCUUAUAUACAUCUCAUAUACAUUUUGGAGUGAUUGAGUGCACUUUAAACGGUGAGAAUUGUUGAUUUGGUAUACUCUGAUUUCGAUGAGGUUAUUGGGGAAUUUGGAAUGCCGUUCUUGGUAUGAACUACCGUGGUUUGCUUAGUAUCUUUAUUGCAUUUCUGAGUUAAUUAUGCUUGAGGGCAAGCAUAGUUCAGGUGUGGGGGAGAUUGAUAGGGUGCAUUUU
This 1035-nucleotide long non-coding RNA is filed under the name Coffea arabica (coffee). RNAcentral's name for it is "long non-coding RNA (CARA_LNC007482)". Lineage: Eukaryota; Viridiplantae; Streptophyta; Magnoliopsida; Gentianales; Rubiaceae. The record is from RNAcentral.